Molecule: ribosomal RNA, 253 nt
Filed under: uncultured bacterium
Lineage: Bacteria
Description: partial 16S ribosomal RNA
Rfam family: Bacterial small subunit ribosomal RNA
Source: RNAcentral
UACGUAGGGUGCAAGCGUUGUCCGGAAUUAUUGGGCGUAAAGAGCUCGUAGGCGGCUUGUCGCGUCUGCUGUGAAAUCCUGAGGCUUAACCUUGGGCGUGCAGUGGGUACGGGCAAGCUAGAGUGCGGUAGGGGAGAUUGGAAUUCCUGGUGUAGCGGUGGAAUGCGCAGAUAUCAGGAGGAACACCGAUGGCGAAGGCAGAUCUCUGGGCCGUAACUGACGCUGAGGAGCGAAAGCAUGGGGAGCGAACAGG